This 882-nucleotide long non-coding RNA is filed under the name Homo sapiens (human). RNAcentral describes it as "HSALNT0293215". The record is from RNAcentral. Lineage: Eukaryota; Metazoa; Chordata; Mammalia; Primates; Hominidae.
UCCUUCCCUUUCUUCCUUUCUUUCCUUUUUCCCCCCUUUCUGUCCUUUUUUCCUUCCUUCCUUCCUUUCCUUUCCCUUCUUUUUCCCUUCCCUUCCCUUCCUUUUCCUUCCUUCUUUCUUUACUUCCUUCCUUCCUUCCUUCCUUCCUCCUCCCCCGAUAUUCUGUUACAACGGAUAUAACGGAUUUACUUUGAGAAAACAGAACUGGAAUGCAGUUUCUUGCUUAGUUUAAAGUGAACUGCUAAGGGAAACAUGUUUCCCGGACUUCUCAGAUAAACCCUCUGCAAUCUCUUGGGUUCCUUUCUCCGUUCCUUCUUUAAGAACAUUCUCAAAGCUUUCGUCUAUUGGCAUCGGCUUGGUCUCCACAUCUGCUUUUGUUAUUUCUUGGUCUUCAAUUUCAAUUUCUAAGGAUUCCUCAAUUGGAAGUGACACCUCCCCAUCCUGACUUGAUGAUUUCUUCAUGGAGCAGUGGAAAGAACGUAGUCCAGAAAUUAGAAGGUUUUGGUCCAUGGCACAGGAAAUGUCCAGAAAAGAAAAUCUGUACAGUCAGAAAGCAGAUCAGUGUCUUCCUGGGGCUGUCUAUGAGACAAGGACCAACUGUCAAAGAGAACAAGGGAACUUCCUGAAGUGCUGGAGAUGUCCUACACCUAGUCUGUGAUAAUGACUGCACAACUCUGUACAAUUCUAAAAAGAAAUUGAAUUAUAUGCUUACAAUGAAUAAAUUUUAUGGCAUUUAAUUCACACCUCAAUAAAGCUAUUUUUUAAAACUGAAAAAAAAGUCAAUGAUAAAAGAAAAAUAAGAAACAGGGCUGAGUGUGGUGGCUAAAGCCUGUAAUCCCAAUGCUUUGUGAGGCCAAGGCAGGGAGAUUGCUGGAGUCCAGG